RNAcentral lists this ribosomal RNA (660 nucleotides) under uncultured archaeon. Its description in RNAcentral is "bacterial SSU rRNA". It matches the Rfam family "Archaeal small subunit ribosomal RNA", at positions 82 to 725 of the family's 1478-position model. The record is from RNAcentral.
CACACGGCUCAGUAACACGUGGCUAACCUACCCUUGAGACGGAGACAACCCCGGGAAACUGGGGCUAAUCCCAGAUAAAUGAGAACUCCUGGAAUGGGUUCUCAUCCAAAAGGCAUCGAGGCCAUGCUUCUUGAUGUCGCUCAAGGAUGGGGCCGCGGCCGAUCAGGCUGUUGGUGAGGCAACGGCUCACCAAACCUAUAACCGGUACGGGCCGCGGGAGCGGGAGCCCGGAGAUGGGAACUGAGACAAGGUCCCAGGCCCUACGGGGCGCAGCAGUUGCGAAAACUCCGCAAUGCACGAAAGUGUGACGGGGCUACCCCGAGUGCUGUCCGCUGAGGAUGGCUUUUCCCUGGUGUAAGGAGCCGGGGGAAUAAGGAGAGGGCAAGUCUGGUGUCAGCCGCCGCGGUAAUACCAGCUCUCCGAGUGGUGGGGAUGUUUAUUGGGCUUAAAGCGUCCGUAGCUGGCUUUUCAAGUCUCUCGUUAAAUCCAGCGAUUCAAUCGUUGGACUGCGGGAGAUACUGUUGGGCUUGGGGGCGGGAGAAGCCGACGGUAUUUCCGGUGUAGGGGUAAAAUCCUAUAAUCCCGGGAGGACCACCAGUGGCGUAGGCGGUCGGCUAGCACGCGCCCGACGGUGAGGGACGAAAGCUGGGGGAGCAAACC